GUGGCUAUAGCUCAGUUGGUUAGAGCAUCGGUUUGUGGUACCGAGGGUCGCGGGUUCGAGUCCCGUUAGCCACCCCU
Molecule: transfer RNA, 77 nt
Filed under: Planctomycetota bacterium
Lineage: Bacteria; Pseudomonadati; Planctomycetota
Description: Planctomycetes bacterium tRNA-His
Rfam family: tRNA
About the family: Transfer RNA (tRNA) molecules are approximately 80 nucleotides in length.
Source: RNAcentral